RNAcentral lists this ribosomal RNA (405 nucleotides) under uncultured bacterium. RNAcentral's name for it is "partial 16S ribosomal RNA". It matches the Rfam family "Bacterial small subunit ribosomal RNA", at positions 30 to 526 of the family's 1533-position model. The record is from RNAcentral.
AUUGAACGCUGGCGGCAGGCCUUACACAUGCAAGUCGAACGAGCGGCGGACGGGUGAGUAAUGUAUGGGGAUGUGCCCGGUAGAGGGGGAUACCUAAUGGAAACGGUGGCUAAUACCGCAUACUAUUGGCGCAACCAAUAUGGGAUUAGCUAGUAGGUGGGGUAAAGGCCACCAAGGAAACGCUCCCUAGCUGGUGUGAGAGGAUGAACAGCCACACUGGGACUGAGACACGGCCCAGAGUCCGACGGGAGGCAGCAGUGGGGAAUAUUGCACAAUGGGGGAAACCCUGAUGCAGCCAUCCCGCGUGUAUGAUGAAGGCCUUGGGGUUGGAAAGUACUUUCAGCAGGGAAGCGUUACCCGCAGAAUAAGCACCGGCUAACUACGUGCCAGCAGCCGCGGUAAUUC